Rhincodon typus (whale shark) is the source of this 3643-nucleotide RNA transcript. It is a transcript of the gene named coactivator-associated arginine methyltransferase 1, like, with no coding region annotated. The transcript has 14 exons. Lineage: Eukaryota; Metazoa; Chordata; Chondrichthyes; Orectolobiformes; Rhincodontidae. The record is from RefSeq and is a predicted model, not a curated record.
UCUAGUUUUAUUGUACAAAUUGCAGAUCCAUUUCCCCUCAACAUUGCUGCUUUCUGCUGAAGGGUCACUCGACCCGAAACACAAACUGUGUGACCCUCGCUCAGAAAUCUGAUCUCUCUGCACAGAUGCUGCCAGACCUGCUGAGUUUUUCCAGCAAUUUCUGGUUUUGUUUCUGAUUUCCAGCAUUCGCAGUUCUCUUUCGGUUUUCACAAGAGUUCACCAGCAGGGGACAGGAGAUAUUCAGGUUUCUGUAGCUUGGGGACGGUACAGCUCCGGUUACCAUCGCCCUGUGCUCUCGGUAGCCUCGCUGGCGGCUUGUAGUGAGAGCUCUUUGUUGUCGGUUCUGUCUGCCGAUGGCUGGCUCGGUGCAGGAACACAGUGUGUCACUGGUCUUUGUGAACGAGGAUCAGAAAGGAGGGUUCCAGUUCGCUCACUCCCCGGAGAGCCAACAGCCCCUUAAACUGGAAAUGAAAGCAGAGGAGGAAGGAGCGGCUCUGCGUCUGAUUGACCGAAAUGGAGCUUGCGUAUUCAAGUGUUCCAUGAACCAUGAGACGGAAAGUUGUCGUGUGGGGAAACAGACCUUUCUCAUUACAGUGGGAUGCAGCAGUGUGCUACUUCAGUUUCAAUCAAUAAAUGAGUUUUUUACCUUUUACAAUUCCUUAAAUAUGUUUAAAAACUCCAAUAAAGCUUGUUCAGCAUUUAGCCAACGAACAGAAGAUGCAUCUGCAAUACAGUAUUUCCAGUUUUAUGGUUGUUUAUCACAACAACAGAACAUGAUGCAAGACUAUAUAAAGACAGCUACUUAUCAAAAGGCAAUGCUUCAGAAUCAUGAUGAUUUUAAUGGUAAGGUUGUUCUUGACGUGGGAUGUGGGUCAGGAAUCCUCUCGUUCUUCGCAGUUCAAGCAGGAGCUAGGAAAGUCUACGCUGUGGAGGCCAGCUCAAUGUCAAAAUAUGCAGAGAUUCUAGUGAGAAGUAACAAUCUUUCAGAACGGGUAAUGGUUCUGGAAGGGAAAAUCGAGGAAAUUACUAUUCCUGAGAAAGUGGACAUCAUUAUUUCAGAACCUAUGGGAUAUUUGUUAUUUAAUGAGAGGAUGCUCGAAAGCUACCUCCAUGCAAAGAAGUGGUUGAAACCAAAUGGGAUGAUGUUUCCUACUUUUGGUGAUGUUCAUCUUGCUCCGUUUUCUGAUGAGCAGCUUUACAUGGAACACUACACAAGGGCAAAUUUCUGGUACCAGCAGUGUUUCCAUGGGAUUAAUUUGACCGGCCUUUGCAGUGCAGCUAUGGAAGAGUACUUCAGUCAGCCAAUCGUAGAUACCUUUGAUGUUGUCAUUUUGAUGGCACGGUCUGUCAAGUACACGGUGAAUUUCCUGCAGUCCGAUGAGGAUGAUUUGCAUCGAAUGGAGAUCCCCUUCGUCUUCCAGAUUCUUCAGUCUGGACCUGUCCAUGGCUUAGCAUUUUGGUUUGAUGUGGCAUUUGUGGGUACACAAAAAACAGUCUGGCUGUCGACAUCUCCUGCUGAACCCCUCACCCACUGGUAUCAAGUGCGAUGCCUCCUACAAACACCACUGAUUGCCAAAGAAGGUGAAACAUUUUCAGGGAAGGUCUUAUUCGUGGCCAAUAAACGACAAAGCUAUGAUAUUCACAUUAUGGGUAUGGUGGACCAAACUGGCUUCAAGUCUGGAAACCUCCUAGACUUAAAGAAUCCUUUUUUCAGGAAGCCCUAUUUCAAACACGCUUGAUGCAUGGCACUACAACUGAAUCAAAAACAUUGUCAAUAAUUGAGGACUGCACUUUUCCAUCCAAAUGAAUGGACUUUUCAAAAAGUUUUUAUGAAUGAAUCCUUGUGAAAAAUCCCUCUCUAAACUGACACCAGCAUAUCUACCAACAAGAUACUCAGGUGACCCAUAGGAGCAGGACUGCAAUGCAACAACUAGACUCAGAUGUUUUUGUGAUGCCUCCAAGUUGCAUUAAUCCCUCUUAUAGAACAUUUUAACAAUUUGUAUUAAAGAAUAAAUGAACACACAUUGUGUGAAUUGAAGUAGUUUCUCUGCGAAAUAUCAAAUAACGUCUGAAAUCUUCAAUCAAAAGCGGCCAACCAAACCAUCCAUCAACAACUGCAAAGCAGAGAAAUAAUGUAAUAAUCAUGUAGAUAUUUAUAAUUGUAGCCAUGUUCAUGUGCCUGUGCAUGUAGACAGUGGUUGGUACCCAUAGAAGUUCAGAUCUGAUCAAAAAUAUUAUGUAAAAAGGACAGUCUUAACAAGCUGGACAGUAAUGUAACAAUUUUAUUUCAACUUUCAUAAUAAUAGAUAAAUUAUAUUGAGAAAAUGCUUUAGAGCAAACAUCAUGAUAAUCAAAUAUUUAAUAGGUAUGGCUUAUUUAUAUCUUUGCAUUCUAUGUAAUAUAUUGGACAUUUGUAGCUAUAUUACAGUGGAAAAUAUGUGCUGUAUAGCUCUUAGCGUAGAAUUAUUAACUUCUUUAAUUAACUUUACACUCAGUAAAAUGGGGGAUGUCACUGCAAGGGGAUGCGACAUAUUUUGUCAUCCAGUGCAACAAACUUAUUCCUGGGUUGGAUGCUAUAGAGUAAAUGUACUCUUUCCCAACAAUGAACAACAACCUGAAGGUCAGAGGAGUACCAGCUAGAAACCAAACCAGCCUUUCUUGCAGUAUGCUUAACUGAGACGGCUAGUUUAGUCCUAACUUUUGCCAGGUUAUGGGUGAUUUUAUCAUGGCAGCCAUGAGAAGAGAAAGGCCAAUCUGCUACCAAACUCUGUAUCAAAUUAUUGAUGCUCUUUAUUAUUAUUAGUAUUUUCAAAAGCUGUUCAAAUGUUACCAGUUCACCCACUUCCAAAUCAAAGCAAUCAGUCAAAUUUAUUGUUAUUUUUCUUAGACUGUAUUUGUAAAAGGAAAAUCAUGACUUCAAGCCAAUAAUUUGAAGUCAGUAUUGAUGAAUGAGGUUUUGAGAAUAUUGGACGUGUUCUGUUUAAUUUUGCAGAGAUGCCUAGAAACCAUGCUUUGUAAUGCUUUGUAAUUCAUACAGCCAAAACAAGGUCAUGAGACAUCUGCACGGUCCCGAUCCUAAAAGGCUCCAGGCCAAGUGCUAGUUCUGAUGGUGCGCGUGUAAGGGUUUUGAAGAUCUGCUGGGUUUUCCUUCCAAAGGAUUGUUCCCCUUGUUUUCUACUGAAAACACCGUUCUGCUUUACAAUCUGAGUUUCCUAGAAUGUCAGCAUGUUUAAAGAAAGCUAUUCAGACUUGCAACUUGUUGUACAUGAACUCAAAAUACAGAAUUUAAGGGAGAUAUUUUCUCGUGUGUAGGACAAAAAUUGUUAGAGGUGAAAACUAAACUCUUGCAUGUAUGACACUAUGUUUCUUGUAUUAUUUAAAGAAUGGAGGAUCACUAUUAUGACACUGAAGCCAGUAGACAUGAAAUAAAUGCAGCAGGAAUCGGUCCAGUUAAUAUAAUCACUUUUGUAACAAACCUCUGUUAGUGGCAGGCCAGCACCCUACUGCUUACUGAAUAACAUUGGGUGAUAUCAGUAAUGUAACAUCUCAUUUGAACUGAAUGAUAUGUGAGAAAGCUACCUCAUACCAAUGGCUUUUGCUUGUAUCAUCAAACAGAAAGAAAAUAAAUUCCAACAUUGCCUUA